This 497-nucleotide ribosomal RNA is filed under the name uncultured bacterium. Its description in RNAcentral is "partial 16S ribosomal RNA". It matches the Rfam family "Bacterial small subunit ribosomal RNA", at positions 28 to 507 of the family's 1533-position model. The record is from RNAcentral.
GAUGAACGCUGGCGGCGUGCCUAAUACAUGCAAGUCGAGCGAACAGAUAAGGAGCUUGCUCCUUUGACGUUAGCGGCGGACGGGUGAGUAACACGUGGGUAACCUACCUAUAAGACUGGAAUAACUCCGGGAAACCGGGGCUAAUGCCGGGUAACAUUUAGAACCGCAUGGUUCUAAAGUGAAAGAUGGUUUUGCUAUCACUUAUAGAUGGACCCGCGCCGUAUUAGCUAGUUGGUAAGGUAACGGCUUACCAAGGCAACGAUACGUAGCCGACCUGAGAGGGUGAGCGGCCACACGGGAACUGAGAAACGGUCCAGACGCCUACGGGAGGCAGCAGUAGGGAAUCUUCCGCAAUGGGCGAAAGCCUGACGGAGCAACGCCGCGUGAGUGAUGAAGGGCUUCGGAUCGUAAAACUCUGUUAUUAGGGAAGAACAAAUGUGUAAGUAACUGUGCACGUCUUGACGGUACCUAAUCAGAAAGCCACGGCUAACUACGUG